This 253-nucleotide ribosomal RNA is filed under the name uncultured bacterium. RNAcentral's name for it is "partial 16S ribosomal RNA". It matches the Rfam family "Bacterial small subunit ribosomal RNA", at positions 524 to 776 of the family's 1533-position model. The record is from RNAcentral.
UACAGGGGGGGCAAGCGUUGUUCGGAAUUACUGGGCGUAAAGGGCUCGUAGGUGGCCGACUAAGUCAGACGUGAAAUCCCUCAGCUUAACUGGGGAACUGCGUCUGAUACUGGAUGGCUUGAGUUUGGGAGAGGGAUGCGGAAUUCCAGGUGUAGCGGUGAAAUGCGUAGAUAUCUGGAGGAACACCGGUGGCGAAGGCGGCUAUCUGGACAGAAACUGACGCUGAGGCGCGAAAGCUAGGGGAGCAAACGGG